GGACUACCGGGGUAUCUAAUCCUGUUUGCUCCCCACGCUUUCGCACCUCAGCGUCAGUUCCGGACCAGUGGGCCGCCUUCGCCACUGGUGUUCUUCCUAAUAUCUACGAAUUUCACCUCUACACUAGGAAUUCCACCCACCUCUUCCGGACUCGAGACUUACAGUAUCGAAGGCAGUUCCGAGGUUGAGCCCCGGGAUUUCACCCCCGACUUGCAAGUCCGCCUACGUGCGCUUUACGCCCAGUGAUUCCGAACAACGCUAGCUCCCUUCGUAUUACCGCGGCUGCUGGCAC
RNAcentral lists this ribosomal RNA (292 nucleotides) under uncultured bacterium. RNAcentral's name for it is "partial 16S ribosomal RNA". The record is from RNAcentral.